This 968-nucleotide long non-coding RNA is filed under the name Cicer arietinum (chickpea). RNAcentral's name for it is "long non-coding RNA (CARI_LNC001321)". Lineage: Eukaryota; Viridiplantae; Streptophyta; Magnoliopsida; Fabales; Fabaceae. The record is from RNAcentral.
UAAUUUCCAAUUCCACCUCUUCUAGAUUUUAGAAGAUCUUUCAAACAUUGUUCACAUAGAGAAAGUCCUAAAAUUAGGGGAUAUGUUGUUGGCUUGGUGGCUGAAGUUAGGGAGUGGACUAAUAAGGAGAUUGAGGGUUCCACCCCACCUUCGACAAAAUACUAACAAUAUUAAUAAUACUAAUUAGUAACAUUGACAAUUGAAAAACAAAAAAAAAAAACCUAAAAUAGAUACUUAAUUCUCUUCACAAAUAGCUUAUAGGCAAGACAGAGAAGUACACCAAAUUUAAAGCUGGCGUAGAACAGAACUUGCUAGUGUUUUGAUUUCUCAAAAACGGUUGUGAAAAUUAACUAACCAAAUACUCUAGUCAUAAUAAUUCAUAAACAAGAAAAAAAGUGUAAGAUUCAUAUUCAAACAUGAAGAACAAAAAAAAAGUUCAGUUCAAUCUCACAGCACAGUUAUUUUAAGCUCAUUCCAGAUCUAGAACGCUGAAUUAAGAGUAAAGUGUUUGUUUCAGCUUUAAUUUAGUUUAACUCUCACACAGUAAAGAAAUGAAAAGUUUCAAGAGUGGAAAAUGCUUAAGGCUAAUGCAGAAGCUGAGGAACAGUGUACUCAUAAGCAAGAACUGAAAAUAUACAAAUUAAAAAUAAAAAUAAAAAGAAUAGUUGAAAAUGCUUUUUAUUUGAAGUUUGAAGCUAAACAAACAGAAGUUAACUUACAGUUAGAGAUUGGAAGAGUAGCGCCAUUAGAGAGAAUGAAAAAGUUGGUCAAAACGGUGAAGUGCUUAAAUGAAGAAACAUGCGAAGAACAACACACACAGUUUAAGGCGACACAACAAAAUGUGCUUUCUUUAGUUUUGGUAAUGUCACCUGCAUUAACCAAACAAUGCAUAAAAUGUAUUACAAUCAAAAAAAUGUGAAAACACUCAAAUAUUAACUUAAAUAUUUUUUCUUGAAUUUAAAUUUAAA